AAGUCGUAACAAGGUCUCCGUUGGUGAACCAGCGGAGGGAUCAUUGCUGGAAGCGCCGCAAGGCGCACCCAGAAACCCUUUGUGAACUUAUACCUACAUCGUUGCCUCGGCGUUGGCUGCCCCUCCCCCCUAGCGGGAGAGGGGGCCCUCCCCCCGUGGGAGGACAGCAGGCCCGCCGGCGGCCCAUUAAACUCUUGUUUUUACCGAGUAACUUCUGAGUAAAGCUUCUAAAUGAAUCAAAACUUUCAACAACGGAUCUCUUGGUUCUGGCAUCGAUGAAGAACGCAGCGAAAUGCGAUAAGUAAUGUGAAUUGCAGAAUUCAGUGAAUCAUCGAAUCUUUGAACGCACAUUGCGCCCUCUGGUAUUCCAGAGGGCAUGCCUGUUCGAGCGUCAUUUCAACCCUCAAGCACAGCUUGGUGUUGGGACUCGCGUUAAUUCGCGUUCCUCAAAUUGAUUGGCGGUCACGUCGAGCUUCCAUAGCGUAGUAGUAAAACCCUCGUUACUGGUAAUCGUCGCGGCCACGCCGUUAAACCCCAACUUCUGAAUGUUGACCUCGGAUCAGGUAGGAAUACCCGCUGAAUUUAA
This 586-nucleotide ribosomal RNA is filed under the name uncultured fungus. Its description in RNAcentral is "eukaryotic LSU rRNA". The stretch from base 241 to 394 matches the Rfam family "5.8S ribosomal RNA". The record is from RNAcentral. Lineage: Eukaryota; Fungi.